UGAACCAGUCAUUAUUGUAAAGUGAGAAUCGGAUACUUUGUUGGAAGCUCUACCUCUGUCCUUAGUUGUUUUCUUUUGCACACUGGUUGAAUGCCCGAGUUGGUGGAGUCCUUCAUUGAUUCUGGUAUGGAUAUUACUCUCUAUGGAUUUAUUGAGCAUACCUGCAAGACAGUGAAUCUCAGUUGUACGUGGUGACAUAUGGUGUGUGACUUCUGUGCAAGUUAAAUGCGGCUGUACCACGAGAGGAAUGACAACAGACUUGGUCUUGCAGUGUGUCUGUUUCUCACCCUGUCAAAUCGAAUGCUUGAGAAAAAUAAGGGCCUGCUUAUUAAAGGUUAAGCAAAACAGACUGAAGCGUUUCCAUAUCCUCGGUGCUUACAUGAAGAGGACUGUACACGUUCGCAAACGACCAAAAAAGCGCAGGGACUCGGAUUUUAAACGGACAUGACUCGCUUGUCUGUGUUUACGGAGAGAAAUAUAAGAAAAAAACUCCGCGCAACUCUGCUCUCUCCGACCGGAGAAAGUGAUAAGAUACGGCGCAAUCAACUUCAUCGGCAGGGAGUCGGUCGCUUCCUUUCUGAUCGCCAGUAUUGCGGACAACCCACAGACCUACUUAACUUGGAAAUAGCUGGCAGAUAGAGGGAAAGUAAUUAAGGUAUUAAAACAAGCAGUGCAUUCCUCCAGAGGACCUUAUCAACCAGGAACAGGCUCUGCAUCCCUCAAUAUGCUAAUGUAGGAAGAAUGACGUCACAGCUGCAAGUUUGUCUGCACCAUUCUGGAAACAAACGUGAAGUUCCGUAAAUGAAAUGAUAUUUCCCACUCUCUCCAUAAUCAUCAGAGUAUGAUAUGUUGUGUUUUAAAACGCCAGCCUACUUUUAUGUCAUAUUUUGCCGUAAUUUGCUAGAAUGAAAUGUAACGGUUUGGGUGACGCCUAUAAUUUAUAAUGCUUUGAAAGCAGAA
Long non-coding RNA from Hypanus sabinus (Atlantic stingray), 960 nucleotides. RefSeq lists it as uncharacterized. Lineage: Eukaryota; Metazoa; Chordata; Chondrichthyes; Myliobatiformes; Dasyatidae. The record is from RefSeq and is a predicted model, not a curated record. The transcript has 6 exons.